Molecule: ribosomal RNA, 253 nt
Filed under: uncultured Eubacteriales bacterium
Lineage: Bacteria; Bacillati; Bacillota; Clostridia; Eubacteriales
Description: uncultured Clostridiales bacterium partial 16S ribosomal RNA
Rfam family: Bacterial small subunit ribosomal RNA
Source: RNAcentral
UACGUAGGGGGCAAGCGUUAUCCGGAAUUACUGGGUGUAAAGGGAGCGUAGACGGUGAUGUAAGUCUGGAGUGAAAGGCGGGGGCCCAACCCCCGGACUGCUCUGGAAACUAUGUGACUGGAGUGCAGGAGAGGUGAGCGGAAUUCCUGGUGUAGCGGUGAAAUGCGUAGAUAUCAGGAGGAACACCGAUUGCGAAGGCAGCUUACCAAGCUACUUCUGACGUUGAGGCACGAAAGCGUGGGGAGCAAACAGG